GGUCAUAUAGUGUAGUGGUUAUCACUUGGGAUUUUGACUGCUGCUUUCGUACGCGAUGAAUUUCCCGGAACCCAGGUUCGAACCCUGGUAUGACCU
Non-coding RNA from Amylostereum chailletii, 96 nucleotides. The record is from the annotation of a GenBank genome assembly. Lineage: Eukaryota; Fungi; Basidiomycota; Agaricomycetes; Russulales; Stereaceae.